RNAcentral lists this long non-coding RNA (2650 nucleotides) under Homo sapiens (human). Its description in RNAcentral is "HSALNT0299727". Lineage: Eukaryota; Metazoa; Chordata; Mammalia; Primates; Hominidae. The record is from RNAcentral.
AAACGCCCGCCCUUCUGCCUGCCCCUCGUCUGGCUCUGCGUUUCUCCUCAGCAUGUUGUCACCUGACACGCUGUGGACUCGAUUUGAUUUGUGCGUCCUCAUUCUGUCCUCGCUAGGAUGGAGGUUCCACGAGAACAGGGCUUUCCUCUGGCUGCUGACGACGGAGCUCCCGGCACCUGCACGAGUGCGUGGCGCGUGGGAGCAGGUGUGCGCUGAGUGCUCGGUGCAGUUGCUGGCAGCGCGUGCACGUCCGCAGCUGUGAGCGUAGCUCUAGCAGUGUAGACACCUGGGAAAGUCGGGGCCCAAUCAGUGAGCUGCUCCUGCCCCUCAUCCGCUCCAAAUUUUGAGUCUGUGUCACCCACUUUGCAGCUUUUCCAUCUACUCUGAUAGAAUCGUCUCGAUAGGACAAUGCCUAUUCCUGUUCUGAGCCUAAGUUCUAUCUCCUGCAUGGGUCACAAAGCCGAGCCCCUGGCCACUGAGGCCUCCCCGUUCGCCUCCCAGAGGCCGCCACUUUCUUCAGGGCUAUCAGAUGAAGGCAGCAACGAAAACACCACCACAAGACCAACUUCAGGCUGGAGCUGAUGAUGCCACACAGCGAGAAAAAAGAAAAUAGACUCUACUUAGAAAUGAAACUCAACUAAAGGUAAAAGUUGUCAGGAACAUCUCCAAGAAAGCCAGAGUCAGCCUCUAAACUUUGCAUCAAGAACGCAAUGGCUUCCCUGAGGGCCCAGGGACGCGUGGCAGCUGUGAGGCAGCCCCUUCUCUGCUGUCGAGGAACUGGACACUUCUCCUGUCCCUUCCCACAAGGUAUAAUAUUAGGCAGAAACCCAAUAUAAAAAGAAAAGCAGAGUUGUUGUAGAUUCAUCGAGGGUUGGCGACCUGGUUCCAAUGAGCCAUCUCCCUGUUCCGACAGGGGCUUCCUGGAGCUCCUGCAACCCCAGGCAUUAGUUCCGGUGCAGUUCUAGGAUCAGAUCAAUUCACUCGACAACAAGAGAAACAAAUGGAGAUUCCUACACAAAGACUUUCAAGCACAAAGAAAUCCUGCUGCCUGUAAAGCGGAGCUGCCUCAGCCCUUGAUGAACGACAGAAAAUACCACCUACUGCCAGACCUCAACGCCUCACAAAACUCUCACCCACCUACUGCUUUUAGCUCACAUUCCAGGAAUUCAGAUGAAGUGAAGUGCUCUCAUGGGGACCAGGCAUGGUUAUGCCAGUCCACUGCCCUGCAAGCCUCAAGGGAAGCCAACUGCCCUUCAGCAAGUCACACCUGCCUUGGUGGAGGCCUUGAUUGGAAGUGCCACACGCUACAUGUCCAGUCCUGAGCGGGAGAAUCGGUGUAGGGACGUUCUGGGGAUGCCAGCUGUGGCCAGAUCAGGUCCAACUACAGAAGAAUAAUGAAGACUCCACCUGAGGGCUGGAAAAACAAAACCUCAAGUGUGAGGCAGCCAACCUGUUACCUCGAGGGACUGUUCCGCAGCACAGCGGGGCCAUGGGAACAGCAGCAGACACCCCGACCUCCUCGCUACCUGUAUCAACUAUGGCCUGAGUAUGAUAGACUUAUCCAUGGUUUAAACAGAAUAUAUUGUUUUCAACUUUGAAAAUAAGAAUAUGGAAAUCCAGAUGCAGAAAUGUGAGAAGAAAAGAGAGUAAACAGAGUGGAAGGUCAGGUGACCUUGCCUGUCAUGAAUAUGAAGGUCAAGGUGUGUGAAUUGUGAAAUUUCCAAGAGAACCUCACUGAAGCAAAGAAUGAAGAAAGAAUUGCAUUUGGCCCUGGGAGGGUGCAGGGGUGAAUGGUGCAGGAGCUAAAUCUUUAUCAUACCCAGAAAUCAACAGCCACUAUUUGAAAUCAUCUAAAUUCGUGCUGCUAACCUUCAGUGUACACACGAAUCACCUGGGGAUCUUACUAAAAGCUAGUUUCUGAUUCACUAAAUCUGUGUGUGGUGGAAGUUGAGGGCAGAGAAGCUCCCGAGGGUGUCAAGCUGACUCUGAACCCGACUUUGAGGGUUAAGGUCCCAAAUGGCAUCGCCAGCACCAGGGACAGACACUAAAAUUGUAGAAAUCGUCUCAAGAAAUGAACAGCCUCUAAGUCAGAUGUUGAAUGUGAAAGAAAUCAGGGUGUGUACGUGUGUGUGCAUUUGUGUGUGCACGUGUGUGCCUGUGUUUGUCUCUGUGCAUGUAUGUUUCUAUGUGUGCACAUGUGUGUAUGUGUCUGUACAUGUGUGUUUCUGUGUGUGUGCCUGUGUGUGUAUUGGCUUAGAUCUGUUCGAGACUUUUUAUUUGAUGAGAUCGAUAUAUGCCACCACUUUUGGAAAGGACAACGUAUAUACAAAGACAAUGAUUACUUAUGUAAUGUGAACGGAGUCUCUCUUCGACCCUCAAAUGUUUUGUAGAAAGUAAUGAUGAUGGUGAGGAUUAUAACAAUGCGUGUUUCCUGAAUAACAAAAAGGAGUUACAGUACACUUUUACCUAUUUUUCCAAAGCGCUAGGUCAAGUUUAGCUAAAGUCUGCUUGGAAUUAAUGAGGCUUGGAAAUGUAAAAUCUCAGAGCAGUAAACAUCUCUUUGUCCUAAUGUUCUUAUGUAGCCAUUAAAACUUAAAUAUUAAUACUAAAAUAACUACUGUAAAAUAAAGUAAAAAUGUACGAGAAUAAU